Molecule: microRNA precursor, 209 nt
Organism: Oryza rufipogon (brownbeard rice)
Lineage: Eukaryota; Viridiplantae; Streptophyta; Magnoliopsida; Poales; Poaceae
Rfam family: MIR812 microRNA precursor family
Source: Rfam
AAUAAACCCUGGAUUUCCGUGUCCAAUAUUUGACCGUCCGUCUUAUUUGAAAAAAUUAUGAAAAAAAAAAUUAAAAGACAAGUCACGCAUAAAGUAUUAAUCAUAUUUUAUCAUCUAACAACAAUGAAAAUACUAAUUAUAAAAAAAUUUCAUAUAAGACAUAAGACGGAGUUAAACGUUGGACACGGAAAUCUAAGGUUUGUCUUUUU